UACGUAGGGUGCAAGCGUUGUCCGGAAUUAUUGGGCGUAAAGAGCUCGUAGGCGGUCUGUCGCGUCUGCUGUGAAAACUCGGGGCUUAACCCCGGGCCUGCAGUGGGUACGGGCAGACUAGAGUGCGGUAGGGGAGACUGGAAUUCUCGGUGUAGCGGUGAAAUGCGUAGAUAUCGAGAGGAACACCUGCGGCGAAGGCGGGUUGCUGGGCUGACACUGACGCUGAGGCGCGAAAGCUAGGGGAGCGAACGGG
This 253-nucleotide ribosomal RNA is filed under the name uncultured bacterium. RNAcentral's name for it is "partial 16S ribosomal RNA". It matches the Rfam family "Bacterial small subunit ribosomal RNA", at positions 524 to 776 of the family's 1533-position model. The record is from RNAcentral.